CAUCACCAGGGGACUUGUUUCCUCCAGCCAAGGUCGACAUUGCAGGCGAAGAAAGGAUAGCUGGCACCUCAGGCUGAAUCCGACCCCCUUCCUUCUCGGCACUGCGUCUGGACAGUCUCUCUUUGAAAGAAAGAAACCCGGCGACGAAGGUUGGAGUAGCACAGAGUCGGAAGUGCCGAGUUGGCCUCACCCAUCUCGACGUUGGAGCUUUUCUUUUCACUUGGGGAGGAAGACAUUCCUGAUAGGUAGUUUGGAGAAAAGAGAAUGUGAGAGAAAGAGAUGUUUGAAGAAUGAGGAGUGGUGAGUUGCUACUUAUAAGGAUAUGAGGGUGACGUGGAUUUCCGUAAUAAAUAUUCUUAGCCAAAGAUUUUGAUUUCUCGACCCCAACAUAAACCUAGGUCUUGCCCUAAACCCAGCCUUGCUGGAUCCUGACAUCUCAAUGGCAUAAUAUCGACAUCCCGAUAUGAGAUCCCAAAACUUCUCUCUUCACUUAAGUCUAUACGUUUUCAAGAGUCCUCGCACAAAGAAAAAGCUGCGCGCUCAACAGACUAUGGAUACGGUGAUCGUCUGGGGGCAAGGAACGAAAUGACAACUCACUCCUUCGCCCUCUAACUUCGAAAAACCCGGAGUUCUCUCGAUUUAUAAUAAGCCAAAAAGGUUUUAUAGAUUGAGCCAAACAUUAUACAAAAAGCCCUAACAAGGGCAGGGAUUCAAAGCCACCAACGGCCAGUCCCGAAACAUGCAAACUGUGGUCUCACAAACAGGCCAAAACAAAAAAAAUAAAAAAAAUAUCCCCAAAAGGAUCGUUACCCUAAGCACUCCUCGGAGCACCACCUUCAUCCUCAACCUCACAGCCAUCGCCUCCCUCGGCCGCUUCGUCGUUUCCUCUCCCGCUCGCAACAUCUCCACCUUCAUCAGCCACGCGGCCUUCCCCUCGGUCUCUCCCGAACACGGCAUGAGAGUGCACUCGAACUGCAGCUGAGAGAGGAUCGAGUCGAAGUCCCCGUCAGAAGCCUUCAACUCCUCCUUGCGAGACAACAGCCUGGCUUCUUCGGAGUCCAGAGUCGGAGCCAUGUCGCCUUCGAGCAGGUGGAUCUCGUUUAGGCUUCCCUCGACGCUCGCCAGAGCCAGGUCCUUCUCACGGACUGCCAUGAGGGAAUCAAACAGAACAGCCAUCCUCAUCAGGCGAGCGUGAAAAUCAUCCCUCGAAACAACAGUCCUCGACUUUUCGACGGACUUCGGAAGCCUUGCUCUUCUUCUCUUUCUUCAGCUUGAACAAUGCGCUCGCCGACUUUCCGAGGUCCCGCUCGAGAUCGCUGACCCGAACCUCCAGCCGAGAGAGCUCAGCAGCACGAGCAGCUUCAGUAGAUUUCAACGCGGCCUCGGCUUGUUUCAAUGCCUCUCACGAUUCAGCCAGGCCCCUUGUCAAACGCUCUAUCUCUGAUCCGCAGUCGCUGAGCAUCCCGUCAAUCAGGGAUACAAACUAUACAUGAAAUAAGGGUCAGGAUAAUCAUAGAACAAGGUGGCUUAUGCUGAAAAUAGUCAAAACAAACCUUGGCACGAUGUUGCGACAAAGGUCCCGAGGGCUCCCCUUCUGCGCCAGCGGUACAUCUCCUCUUCUUGAUGGUCUCGGUCGCAGCGCCAGUCCUCUUGCGAAUUUUUGUCAAAGGAGCAGCACUGGACGCGGGACGCCCUAGGACGAUCUCCUUCCUAUCCAAAGGCGGAGGUAUCAACUCCGUCGCCUUCUCCUCCUUAGGAGCUGGGACUGGUGUGGUCGAAGAGUCCGAGGGUUGAGCCGAGACCUCUGGAACUUGAACAGGAACCGUGGCCGAUUCUGCGAGGGGCGUGGCAUCACCAGGGGACUUGUUUCCUCCAGCCAAGGUCGACAUUGCAGGCGAAGAAAGGAUAGCUGGCACCUCAGGCUGAAUCCGACCCCCUUCCUUCUCGGCACUGCGUCUGGACAGUCUCUCUUUGAAAGAAAGAAACCCGGCGACGAAGGUUGGAGUAGCACAGAGUCGGAAGUGCCGAGUUGGCCUCACCCAUCUCGACGUUGGAGCUUUUCUUUUCACUUGGGGAGGAAGAC
This 2083-nucleotide long non-coding RNA is filed under the name Brassica napus (rape). Its description in RNAcentral is "long non-coding RNA (BNAP_LNC024057)". Lineage: Eukaryota; Viridiplantae; Streptophyta; Magnoliopsida; Brassicales; Brassicaceae. The record is from RNAcentral.